GCCCUACGGGGCGCCGCAGUGGGGGAUAUUGCACAAUGGGGGAAACCCUGCUGCAGCGACGCCGCGUGAGUGAAGAAGUAUUUCGGUAUGUAAAGCUCUAUCCGCAGGGAAGAAAAAAGACGGUACCUGACUAAGAAGCCCCGGCUAACUACGUGCCAGCAGCCGCGGCAAUACGUAGGGGGCAAGCGUUAUCCGGAUUUACUGGGUGUAAAGGGAGCGUAGACGGCAAUACAAGUCGGAAGUGAUAUACCCGGGCUCAACCUGGGAACUGCUUUGGCAACUGUCUGGCUAGCGUGCUGGAGAGG
This 305-nucleotide ribosomal RNA is filed under the name uncultured bacterium. RNAcentral describes it as "bacterial SSU rRNA". It matches the Rfam family "Bacterial small subunit ribosomal RNA", at positions 335 to 657 of the family's 1533-position model. The record is from RNAcentral.